UACGUAGGGUGCAAGCGUUAAUCGGAAUUACUGGGCGUAAAGCGUGCGCAGGCGGCUAUGCAAGACAGAUGUGAAAUCCCCGGGCUCAACCUGGGAACUGCAUUUGUGACUGCAUGGCUAGAGUACGGUAGAGGGGGAUGGAAUUCCGCGUGUAGCAGUGAAAUGCGUAGAUAUGCGGAGGAGCACCGAUGGCGAAGGCAAUCCCCUGGACCUGUACUGACGCUCAUGCACGAAAGCGUGGGGAGCAAACAGG
This 253-nucleotide ribosomal RNA is filed under the name uncultured bacterium. RNAcentral's name for it is "partial 16S ribosomal RNA". It matches the Rfam family "Bacterial small subunit ribosomal RNA", at positions 524 to 776 of the family's 1533-position model. The record is from RNAcentral.